Molecule: long non-coding RNA, 289 nt
Organism: Crotalus tigris (Tiger rattlesnake)
Lineage: Eukaryota; Metazoa; Chordata; Lepidosauria; Squamata; Viperidae
Exons: 3
Source: RefSeq, a predicted model, not a curated record
CUGAGCAUGCGCCAUGGAAAGGGACGGAAGUUAGUCGUCUUGAUUGGUGUUGCAAGAGAUGCUUGUUUAUAGGGAGGCCCAGUUUCAACAACUGAUUUUCCUUCCUCAUCUUCUUCCUCUUCCUCUGGUAUUUCUUCCAAGGAGGCUCCAACAAUACAAUUGGCCAGAUACUUACAAUGUACAAUAAAUAAUAAGAUGGUGAAAGGUAAUGAUGAUGUCAUCCAUUCAGUCGAGUGAGACUUUCCCGUAACUUUGCUGCGAUGGAGAUGCAUCUGGCGGGUCCGCGGCG